ACCCGAAGUCCGUGAGGUAACCCGUAAGGGAGCCAGCGGCCGAAGGUGGGAUUAGUGAUUGGGGUGAAGUCGUAACAAGGUAGCCGUAGGUGAACCUGCAGAAGGAUCA
RNAcentral lists this ribosomal RNA (109 nucleotides) under uncultured eukaryote. RNAcentral describes it as "partial small subunit ribosomal RNA". It matches the Rfam family "Bacterial small subunit ribosomal RNA", at positions 1419 to 1525 of the family's 1533-position model. The record is from RNAcentral.